AUUGAACGCUGGCGGCAGGCCUAACACAUGCAAGUCGAGCGAGCGGCGGACGGGUGAGUAAUGUAUGGGGACUGCCCGAUAGCGGGGGAUAACUACUGGAAACGGUAACUAAUACCGCAUACUAUCGGAUAACCCAUAUGGGAUUAGCUAGUAGGUGUGGUAAUGUCUCACCUAGUCGACGAUCCCUAGCUGGUCUGAGAGGAUGAUCAGCCACACUGGGACUGAGACACGGCCCAGACUCCUACGGGGGCAGCAGUGGGGAAUAUUGCACAAUGGGCGCAAGCCUGAUGCAGCCAUGCCGCGUGUAUGAAGAAGGCCUUCGGGUUGUAAAGUACUUUCAGUAGGGAGGCGUUACCGACAGAAGAAGCACCGACUAACUCCGUGCCAGCAGCCGCGGUAAUUC
RNAcentral lists this ribosomal RNA (403 nucleotides) under uncultured bacterium. RNAcentral describes it as "partial 16S ribosomal RNA". It matches the Rfam family "Bacterial small subunit ribosomal RNA", at positions 30 to 526 of the family's 1533-position model. The record is from RNAcentral.